RNAcentral lists this ribosomal RNA (497 nucleotides) under uncultured bacterium. RNAcentral's name for it is "partial 16S ribosomal RNA". It matches the Rfam family "Bacterial small subunit ribosomal RNA", at positions 28 to 507 of the family's 1533-position model. The record is from RNAcentral.
GACGAACGCUGGCGGCGUGCUUAACACAUGCAAGUCGAGCGAACAGACGCGGCGCUUGCUGGUCUGACGUUAGGGGAGGACGGGGGAGUAACACGUGGAUACUGCACCUAUAAGAGUGAGAUAAUCUCGGGACAGCGGCGCCAAUACGGGAUAAUAUAUUGAACCGUAUGGUUCGAUAGCGAAAGACGGUUUUGGUGGCUCGUAUAGAUGGAUCCGGGCCGCAUUAGCUGGUUGGUACGGUCACGGCUUUCCACGGCAACGAUGCGUAGCCGAGUGGAGAGGGGGAUCGGCGGCACUGGAACUGGACCACGGUCCAGACUCCUGCGGGAGGGAGCAGUAGGGGAUCUUCCGCAGUGGGCGGAAGCCUGACGGAACGACGCGGCGUGAGAGAUAGAGGUCUUCGGGUCGUGAGACUGUGUUAUUGGUUAAGAACAGAUGUGUAAGUAACUAUGCACGUCUUGACGGUAACUGGUCAAAAAGCCACGGCUAACUACGUG